This is a long non-coding RNA of Manacus vitellinus (golden-collared manakin), 472 nucleotides long. RefSeq lists it as uncharacterized. The transcript has 4 exons. The record is from RefSeq and is a predicted model, not a curated record. NCBI's taxonomy places the organism in Eukaryota, Metazoa, Chordata, Aves, Passeriformes, Pipridae.
CGCCCUGGCCGCAGCAGCAGUGCCACCCGCGGCCUGCGCCGCAGCGCUUAACGAGGUCAGCGAAGUUCUCUGUUACGACUUGUUAGCUAUUGUCAGAUGCCCAACUGUACAAGGAUGUGAGGUUCUAACUAAUUCAGAUGGCAGUACUGGAAUUGUUGCGGAGAAACAAGAAGAGACUUUCUGCAGGAAAGAACAAACAUUGCCUCAGUGGAAGAAAAAGGGAACAGAAGCAAACUGAAAAUGUUUGUACUUUCUAAAGGAAGAAAAAGUCAAGAUGUUGUCUUUCAAGGAUGACUGUUCUUCGGGUACAUUGGUUGGGAUGCAAUCAGCAAUGAAUUUUAGUCCCUAAAGUGCCUCAGCGGGUGAAGAUGUGAUUGUGGAAUAAAGAGAGCCAUGGAAAUUCAAAAUGAUGAACAGCUCAACAAAAACUUACAAUCUACUGGCAUUAUGAAGAAUAUCAGAAUAUUAUUAA